UACAGAGACUGCAAGCGUUGUUCGGAUUCAUUGGGCGUAAAGGGUCCGCAGGUGGUCCGGUAAGUCGGAUGUGAAAUCCCAUGGCCUAACCAUGGAACGUCGUUCGAAACUGCCGGGCUAGAGGACUGGAGAGGAGGCUGGAAUGGUCGGUGUAGCGGUGAAAUGCGUAGAUAUCGACCAGAACACCAGUAGCGAAGGCGAGCCUCUGGACAGUUCCUGACACUCAGGGACGAAAGCUAGGGGAG
RNAcentral lists this ribosomal RNA (245 nucleotides) under uncultured bacterium. RNAcentral describes it as "partial 16S ribosomal RNA". It matches the Rfam family "Bacterial small subunit ribosomal RNA", at positions 524 to 768 of the family's 1533-position model. The record is from RNAcentral.